GACGAACGCUGGCGGCGUGCUUAACACAUGCAAGUCGAACGGAAAGGCCCUGCUUUUGUGGGGUGCUCGAGUGGCGAACGGGUGAGUAACACGUGAGUAACCUGCCCUUGACUUUGGGAUAACUUCAGGAAACUGGGGCUAAUACCGGAUAGGAGCUCCUGCUGCAUGGUGGGGGUUGGAAAGUUUCGGCGGUUGGGGGUGGACUCGCGGCUUAUCAGCUUGUUGGUGGGGUAGUGGCUUACCAAGGCUUUGACGGGUAGCCGGCCUGAGAGGGUUACCGGCCACAUUGGGACUGAGAUACGGCCCAGACGCCUACGGGAGGCAGCAGUGGGGAAUAUUGCACAAUGGGCGGAAGCCUGAUGCAGCAACGCCGCGUGCGGGAUGACGGCCUUCGGGUUGUAAACCGCUUUCGCAUGUGACGAAGCGUGAGUGACGGUAAUGGGUAAAGAAGCACCGGCUAACUACGUG
This 468-nucleotide ribosomal RNA is filed under the name uncultured bacterium. RNAcentral describes it as "partial 16S ribosomal RNA". It matches the Rfam family "Bacterial small subunit ribosomal RNA", at positions 28 to 507 of the family's 1533-position model. The record is from RNAcentral.